This 502-nucleotide ribosomal RNA is filed under the name Aspergillus cristatus. RNAcentral's name for it is "eukaryotic LSU rRNA". The stretch from base 125 to 278 matches the Rfam family "5.8S ribosomal RNA". Lineage: Eukaryota; Fungi; Ascomycota; Eurotiomycetes; Eurotiales; Aspergillaceae. The record is from RNAcentral.
GGGUCACCUCCCAUCCGUGUCUAUCUGUACCCUGUUGCUUCGGCGUGGCCACGGCCCGCCGGAGACUAACAUUUGAACGCUGUCUGAAGUUUGCAGUCUGAGUUUUUAGUUAAACAAUCGUUAAAACUUUCAACAACGGAUCUCUUGGUUCCGGCAUCGAUGAAGAACGCAGCGAAAUGCGAUAAUUAAUGUGAAUUGCAGAAUUCAGUGAAUCAUCGAGUCUUUGAACGCACAUUGCGCCCCCUGGUAUUCCGGGGGGCAUGCCUGUCCGAGCGUCAUUGCUGCCCUCAAGCACGGCUUGUGUGUUGGGCUUCCGUCCCUGGCAACGGGGACGGGCCCAAAAGGCAGUGGCGGCACCAUGUCUGGUCCUCGAGCGUAUGGGGCUUUGUCACCCGCUCCCGUAGGUCCAGCUGGCAGCUAGCCUCGCAACCAAUCUUUUUAACCAGGUUGACCUCGGAUCAGGUAGGGAUACCCGCUGAACUUAAGCAUAUCAAUAAGCGGA